RNAcentral lists this long non-coding RNA (357 nucleotides) under Elaeis guineensis (African oil palm). RNAcentral's name for it is "long non-coding RNA (EGUI_LNC002633)". Lineage: Eukaryota; Viridiplantae; Streptophyta; Magnoliopsida; Arecales; Arecaceae. The record is from RNAcentral.
AAGGAGCUUCCGACCGACGCCUGACCGAGAGCACGGGCCAAAAGGUGAAGCACAAGAAAGGUCAGGCUCUUGCUGAACCCAGCAGGCCCCCGACCGACAAAUGGGUCUCACCCCAACGACGGAGCCCGAGAUCGCCCCGAUGGCGAAGUCCGAAGCUGGUGCAUCACAGGUAUGACUCCUACACUCCCCUCUCUGCUUCUCGUGCGCAGAUCUUGAUGGAGAUUGAAGGAGCGAAAUAUCUGCGACGGCCUCCGCCUCUGAAGGCAAAAAGCCUCGAUCAGAGAAGGUACUGUCGGUUCCAUCGGAGCCGCGGUCAUACCAUCGAGCAAUGCAUCUAACUCAAGGAUGAGAUAGAGG